CUAAUAGAAACUCGACCUCGACAAGUAGUGAGGAAGGUGGGGAUGACGUCAAAUCAGCACGGCCCUUACGUCCAGGGCUACACACGUGCUACAAUGGCCGGUAACAAAGGGCAGCUACCUGGUGACAGGAUGCUAAUCUCAAAAGCCGGUCUCAGUUCGGAUCGGAGUCUGCAACCCGACUCCGUGAAGUUGGAUUCGCUAGUAAUCGCGCAUCAGCCAUGGCGCGGUGAAUACGUUCCCGGGCCUU
RNAcentral lists this ribosomal RNA (247 nucleotides) under uncultured Sphingobacteriales bacterium. Its description in RNAcentral is "partial 16S ribosomal RNA". It matches the Rfam family "Bacterial small subunit ribosomal RNA", at positions 1134 to 1382 of the family's 1533-position model. Lineage: Bacteria; Pseudomonadati; Bacteroidota; Sphingobacteriia; Sphingobacteriales. The record is from RNAcentral.